Molecule: ribosomal RNA, 414 nt
Filed under: uncultured bacterium
Lineage: Bacteria
Description: bacterial SSU rRNA
Rfam family: Bacterial small subunit ribosomal RNA
Source: RNAcentral
CUGAAGUGUCGAUAUAGUGGCGGACGGGUGAGUAAUGCAUGAGAAGCUGCCAUUGGAGGGGGACGAACAAGUUGGAAACGGCUGCGUAAUACCCCGUAUGCCGGAAGGUGAAAGGGAGCGAUCCGCCCGAUGAGGUGCUCAUGUCCUAUCAGCUGGUUGGUGGGGUAACGGCCUACCAAGGCGACGACGGGUAGCCGGCCUGAGAGGGUGAACGGCCACACUGGAACUGAGAUACGGUCCAGACUCCUACGGGAGGCAGCAGUGGGGAAUAUUGGGCAAAAUGGGGGGCAACCCUGACCCAGCGACGCCGCGUGGGGGAAGACGGCCUUCGGGUUGUAAACCUCUUUUGUACGGGAAGAAGGAAGUGACGGUACUGUACGAAUAAGUCCCGGCUAACUACGUGCCAGCAGCCGC